UGAGCAAUCUGCCCUUCUCAUCGGAAUAAGCGUUGGAAACGACGUCUAAUGCCGAAUACGACCUCCUUUCGCAUGAUCGGAGGUGGAAAGCUCCGGCGGAGAAGGAUGAGCUCGCGGCCUAUCAGCUAGUUGGUGAGGUAACGGCUCACCAAGGCUUCGGACGGGUAGCCGGCCUGAGGAGGGCGACCGGCCACACGUGGGACUGAGAUACGGCCCAGACUCCGUACGGGAGCAG
RNAcentral lists this ribosomal RNA (235 nucleotides) under uncultured bacterium. RNAcentral describes it as "partial 16S ribosomal RNA". It matches the Rfam family "Bacterial small subunit ribosomal RNA", at positions 118 to 347 of the family's 1533-position model. The record is from RNAcentral.